This 3100-nucleotide unclassified non-coding RNA is filed under the name Centruroides sculpturatus (bark scorpion). Its description in RNAcentral is "protein SERAC1-like, transcript variant X4". The record is from RNAcentral. Lineage: Eukaryota; Metazoa; Arthropoda; Arachnida; Scorpiones; Buthidae.
AGAACGGAUUAUUCGAGUAGACGAAAUAUUUCACUUAAGCGCGAAAACUGUAAAACAAUUUUAAUAAUUAAUAUAUUAUUUCAUUUCUUACCACCGGUAAUUUUUCGUCAGUUUUUUCCAGCGAAUAUUAAUUAAUAUUGGUCGGGAAAGUUAAGUUUACCCGUCUGGCAACGUUGUUUCACCUGUAGUGUACUGCGUGUGUUUUUGUAGUGUUUAAAGAGAAUUAAUUGGGCGACGUCGACAAAUUAGGACAGAAAUCCUUUAUGGAAACGCCGUGUUUGUCGGAACUGCGCACGAUAUUAAAUCGUCUUAGAUUAUUAUGCAUUUUCGUCUUCAUUUGACGUUUGUUUACGAAUUAUCGGCAAAUAUGAAAUGGUUUUGAAAUGAAGUUUACCAACAAAUGGAAUUUCGUCCAAAGAAAAGGCGUUUUUGGGGGACUGUUGGCCUUCUGUAUUGGCGGAGGUUACUUAGCACGUGAAGUUUAUACCAGUGAAGGCAUGUGGAAUGCAAUAAAUUCUAUAUCUUACAAAGCUCCGAAAGAAGACAAAGAAUCAGAUUACAUAUAUUUAUCCAAGAGUUACAAAGAUGAUUUAGAUAAUGAAGAAGUAAAUAAAUAUAGCUGGUGGCCAUGGAAUAAGAAAGAACACAAAAUUCAAUGGCAUCUGUUGAGACUCGCCCAGUCCAAAGAUCGACAGGUGCGGCACGUGGCCGUCAAAGCACUGUCCGAAUUGCCUCAUUUAAACGAUUCUGAAUUUAGAGAAAUUGCCCAAGCCUGUGACAUGCGUACGGCAAUCGGUUUAGCCAGAACUCACGGGACCGAUCUUCGAUUCUUUUUAUUGCCGUCGAUACAUACGGAAUAUUCGGAGAAUGAAAUUGAAACAGAGCUUAAAAAUUUAUUAGCAAGUUUGCCAGACAAAGAUAUCAGCAAAUGCAUUCAAUAUUUCACUCAACAGGCUAUCAAAAUUGGUUAUCAGAAAGUCGAGUCUGAUAAUAAACUCGAAUGGAAUAUCGACAACGAACUGAAUGGAGUUUCUGCUCAGAUGGAAUUUCGUCCGCGUUCGGUUUCUCACGAAACAAUCGUAAAAACGUGUCUUCGGGCACUCUUGAGUCACAGCACCAUUUUAUAUCAUCGAAAAUUAAUAGUCGAGAAAGGAAUAUUAUUACUGCUGCAUCGCAUUAACAAUCAUCAUAAAAAUCAUGAAGUAACGAGUUUAAUCAUUCAAAUAUUAGGCAAUCUUGUUGAAGAUAAAAGCCUUCAUAAGCAUUUAUUUAUGACUGGUUGGAUUCGAACAUUGACUUCAUUAUCGAGAUCACCACACUUGGAGCUUUCGUUGCCCGCCAGUAGAGCUUUAGUCAAUUUAGAUAGUGAUAAAUUUUCUGACGAAGUUUAUGAAGAUGGAAUUUAUCUUUUAUAUCCACAACUACGAGGGAGGGACAAACAUCUAAAUGCGGAUGUCAUUUUUAUUCAUGGUCUUCUCGGAGGAGCGUUUCGAACUUGGAGGCAGAAGGAUGAAAUGAAAUUAGAAGUUAAAGACCAACAGAUAACUCUGGAAAAUGACAAAGUCUGGGUUACUCCCGACAAACAAAAAGAGCCGUCGUUUCCUCCAUCUACUUUUGGUACCAUACUUGAAGAUUACACAUUUUGUUGGCCAAAGGAUUGGUUGUCUCGUGAAUGUCCGCAUCUUCGAAUUCUGGCAGUAGAUUACUACUCUCAUUUUACCGUCUGGAAGGACGAGUGUCGCUUUGAAACCGAAAAUCGCUCUCUAUUAAGUAGAAGUAAUGAGAUUUUGAAGAAGUUAGUAGCCGCGGGUGUCGGUAACAAACCCAUAAUAUGGGUCACUCAUUCCAUGGGAGGAUUGUUAGUAAAACAAAUGCUUCUCGAAGCAGCCAAAAACAGAGAUCCCAGCAUUAGAAACGUGUUAGAGAAUUCAGUUGGCGUAGUGUUUUGUAGCGUACCUCACCGAGGAAGUUCUUUGGCCACUGUGGAUUCCGGCUGGAAACUAAUAUUACUUCCGACUAAAGAAGUGAAAGAAUUGAAAAAAGAUUCCUCGUAUCUUUUGGACAUGCACGAGAAGUUUAAACAGUUGGCCAAGAAGCACGACAUCUCUUGUCUUAGUUUCGGAGAAACCCAAAAAACCAACCUGGGCUUGAAAUUAAGCACGUUGAUGGUGUCUCUGGAUUCCUCAGAUCCGUCGAUCGGCGAAUUUUACGCACUUCCGGAGAAUCAUCUGAACACCUGUAAGCCGGAAACGAAGUCCUCCGUCAUGUAUCAGCUGCUGGUGGAUUUCAUCCAUCAGCACGUGCCGCACACUCUGAUGGAAAAUUUGCUUCAGGACCACAACGUCAGUGCCGAAGAUUUAGAAACCACCGUGGUCAUGGGAUUAGUGCAAUAGAUUUUUGUAUACAAUUUAAUUAAAGACAAUAUUUUUAAAUACGUAUAUGUAAUAAUGUCUUUGGUUUAUCAUAAUAUAUUCUUUAUGCAGAUGCCUUAGUCCAUUGUAAAACGUCCAUCGAAUUUACGGUGGAAAGUAUGUGCGGAAUUGCGGAUACGACCGGGCCCAAUUACUUUUUCGAUUCUCUCGAACGCUCAAAGUCGUAGUUUAUUUUGUUUUUAUAAAGAAAUUUCUUCAGGCAAGUUAGAGAGAGACAUUUUCUUCGGAAUGUAUAUUUACAAUUAUGCAUUUUUGAUUACGCGAUCCGAACUCCGGUUCCUCUGUAUUUGGAUCGUCGUCCCGCUUCAUCGAAGUCCAUACGUAAGCAUGAAUACUUAAAAACACACACAAGAACAUUCCAUCUUUAAGGGAAAUUCUAUUGUUAGAACUGGUAAAUAAUUUCCCAUGUGGAUGUUAAAAUCCAAAAGUUUAGUGAAAUCUGUUUUUUAUACUUUUUCUUUAUUAUUUAUAUAGUGUGGACCCCAAGAAAACGGGUCUAAUCUGAGAUAAUUUCGAGAAAAGUAUUAUGAAAACCAAAGAUAUUACCGAACGGUCGGGGUACCCAAAAUUUGCGUAUUAAAUUUCCUAUAAAUCGGAUGCAGGGUAUGAUUUUAGGAUUGUUGUUGCCAACGAAAACUUUUGACUAGUAAAUAAAUUUUUUUCAUUUA